Molecule: small RNA, 173 nt
Filed under: Streptomyces aurantiacus JA 4570
Lineage: Bacteria; Bacillati; Actinomycetota; Actinomycetes; Kitasatosporales; Streptomycetaceae
Description: gntR-DTE RNA
Rfam family: gntR-DTE RNA
Source: Rfam by way of RNAcentral
CGGGUGACGGCCGCCGGCGGCCACUUCGUGGCGGGUGAACCUGUCCUGCCCCGCGUGCCAGCUCUGGAGAACACCGCUCGGGAUCAUCCCUUCAUUUCUGGAGGUCAGCCCCUGGGGUGCCACCUGGUGCGCGCCGCCCUGCUGGCGUCAGAGCAGUGACGAUGACGCGCCCG